Molecule: long non-coding RNA, 331 nt
Filed under: Mytilus galloprovincialis (Mediterranean mussel)
Lineage: Eukaryota; Metazoa; Mollusca; Bivalvia; Mytilida; Mytilidae
Source: RNAcentral
CAAAAGGAAGGUUGAGAUUGAUUUUGGGAGUUUUUGUCCUAACAUUUUAGGAAUUAGGGGCCAAAAAAGGUCCAAAUAAGCAUUUUCUUGGUUUUCGCACAAUAACUUUAGUUUAAGUAAAUAGAAAUCUAUGAAAUUUUGACACAAGGUUUAUGACCACAAAAGAAAGGUUGGGAUUGAUUUUGGGAGUUUUGGUUCCAACAGUUUUAGGAAUUAGGGGCCAAAAAAGGGCCCAAAUAAGCAUUAUUCUUGGUUUUCGCACAAUAACUUUAGUAUAAGUAAAUAGAAAUCAAUGAAAUUUAAACACAAGGUUUAUGACCACAAAAGGAAG